GGGUGUCCGGCCACACUGGGACUGAGAUACGGCCCAGACUCUUACGGGAGGCAGCAGUCGAGAAGCUUCGGCAAUGGGCGAAAGCCUGACCGAGCGAUGCCGCGUGAGUGAAGAAGGCCCUAUGGGUUGUAAAGCUCUGUCAGAUUGGGAAGAAAACUCGGCGGUUAAUACCCGUCGAGCUUGACGGUACCAUCAGAGGAAGCACCGGCUAACUCCGUGCCAGCAGCCGCGGUAAUACGGAGGGUGCAAGCGUUGUUCGGAUUCACUGGGUAUAAAGGGUGCGCAGGCGGCCCGAUAAGUCAGGGGUGAAAUAUGACGGCUUAACCGUCAAACUGCCCCUGAAACUGCCAGGCUUGAGUUCGAGAGAGGUAGGUGGAAUUCCAGGUGUAGCGGUGAAAUGCGUAAAUAUCUGGAGGAACACCGGUGGCGAAGGCGGCCUACUGGCUCGAUACUGACGCUCAGGCACGAAGGCAUGGGGAGCGAACGGGAUUAGAUACCCCGGUAGUCCAUGCCGUAAACGAUGGGUACUAGGUGUUGGAGGAUUCUACCCCUUCAGUGCCGCAGCUAACGCAUUAAGUACCCCACCUGGGGAGUACGAUCGCAAGGUUGAAACUCAAAGGAAUUGACGGGGGCCCGCACAAGCGGUGGAGCAUGUGGUUUAAUUCGAUGCAACGCGAAGAACCUCACCUGGGCUUGACAUGCAGGGGACAGAUGUAGAAUACAUCCUUCUUCGGACUCCUGUACAGGUGCUGCAUGGCUGUCGUCAGCUCGUGUCGUGAAAUGUUGGGUUAAGUCCCGCAACGAGCGCAACCCUUGUCUUUAGUUGCCAUCAGGUUAUGCUGGGGACUCUAGAGAGACUGCCGGUGACAAACCGGAGGAAGGUGGGGACGACGUCAAGUCAUCAUGGCCCUUACGCCCAGGGCUACACACGUGCUACAAUGGUCGGUACAGAGGGCUGCAAUACAGCAAUGUGGAGCGAAUCCCAAAAAGCCGGCCUCAGUUCGGAUCGUAGUCUGCAACUCGACUACGUGAAGUUGGAAUCGCUAGUAAUCGCGUAUCAGAACGACGCGGUGAAUACGUUCCCGGGCCUUGUACACACCGCCCGUCAAGUCAACCGAGUUGGCUGCACCCCAAGUCGCUGAGCUAACCCCUUCGGGGGAGGCAAGUGCCCAAGGUGUGGUUGGCGAGGGGGACUAAGUCGUAACAAGGUA
RNAcentral lists this ribosomal RNA (1211 nucleotides) under metagenome. RNAcentral's name for it is "bacterial SSU rRNA". It matches the Rfam family "Bacterial small subunit ribosomal RNA", at positions 298 to 1498 of the family's 1533-position model. The record is from RNAcentral.